AGUUCAUUGAUCAUGUCCUACAGCUAAUGAGAGUGAAGAUCCUCUUAUCUUUGCCUUAUCUAUCCACAUAGAUGGCCUAAGGCCACAAUACUAUAAUAUAAAUAUCCAUAUCUUUCUACAUCUUCCAUAUUAAAUAUCCUAAUACUUUUACUUUUACUUAUAAAACUUACACAAGUUAUUUAAGAUUUCUAUAAACUAUGAAAUUCUAUAGAAAAUAAUUC
This 221-nucleotide long non-coding RNA is filed under the name Physcomitrium patens. RNAcentral's name for it is "long non-coding RNA (PPAT_LNC011451)". The record is from RNAcentral. Lineage: Eukaryota; Viridiplantae; Streptophyta; Bryopsida; Funariales; Funariaceae.